Molecule: ribosomal RNA, 535 nt
Filed under: uncultured Glomus
Lineage: Eukaryota; Fungi; Glomeromycota; Glomeromycetes; Glomerales; Glomeraceae
Description: SSU rRNA
Rfam family: Eukaryotic small subunit ribosomal RNA
Source: RNAcentral
AGCAGCCGCGGUAAUUCCAGCUCCAAUAGCGUAUAUUAAAGUUGUUGCAGUUAAAAAGCUCGUAGUUGAAUUUCGGGGUUAGUAGGUUGGUCAUGCCUCUGGUAUGUACUGGUCUCACUGAUUCCUCCUUCCUGAUGAGCCGUAAUGCCAUUAAUUUGGUGUUGCGGGGAAUUUGGACUGUUACUUUGAAAAAAUUAGAGUGUUUAAAGCAAGCUAACGCUUGAAUACAUUAGCAUGGAAUAAUGAAAUAGGACGUUCGAUCCUAUUUUGUUGGUCUAUUUUGUUGGUUUCUAGGAUUGACGUAAUGAUUAAUAGGGAUAGUUGGGGGCAUUAGUAUUCAAUUGUCAGAGGUGAAAUUCUUGGAUUUAUUGAAGACUAACUACUGCGAAAGCAUUUGCCAAGGAUGUUUUCAUUAAUCAAGAACGAAAGUUAGGGGAUCGAAGACGAUCAGAUACCGUCGUAGUCUUAACCAUAAACUAUGCCGACUAGGGAUCGGAUGAUGUUAAUUUUUUAAUGACUCAUUCGGCGCCUUACG